GGGCCUGUAGCUCAGCUUGGUAGAGCAGCGGACUUUUAAUCCGCGGGUCGCGGGUUCGAAUCCCGCCGGGCUCA
RNAcentral lists this transfer RNA (74 nucleotides) under Deltaproteobacteria bacterium. RNAcentral's name for it is "tRNA-Lys". It matches the Rfam family "tRNA". From Rfam's summary of the family: Transfer RNA (tRNA) molecules are approximately 80 nucleotides in length. Their secondary structure includes four short double-helical elements and three loops (D, anti-codon, and T loops). Lineage: Bacteria; Pseudomonadati; Myxococcota; Myxococcia. RNAcentral also lists the same sequence under 2 other names. The record is from RNAcentral.